RNAcentral lists this ribosomal RNA (253 nucleotides) under uncultured bacterium. RNAcentral describes it as "partial 16S ribosomal RNA". It matches the Rfam family "Bacterial small subunit ribosomal RNA", at positions 524 to 776 of the family's 1533-position model. The record is from RNAcentral.
UACAGAGGUCUCAAGCGUUGUUCGGAUUCAUUGGGCGUAAAGGGUGCGUAGGUGGCGCUGUAAGUCGGGUGUGAAAUCUCGGGGCUUAACUCCGAAACUGCAUUCGAUACUGCCGUGCUUGAGGACUGGAGAGGAGACUGGAAUUUACGGUGUAGCGGUGAAAUGCGUAGAUAUCGUAAGGAAGACCAGUGGCGAAGGCGGGUCUCUGGACAGUUCCUGACGCUGAGGCACGAAGGCCAGGGGAGCAAACGGG